RNAcentral lists this long non-coding RNA (578 nucleotides) under Mus spicilegus (steppe mouse). RNAcentral's name for it is "lncRNA (ENSMSIG00000018757.1)". The record is from RNAcentral. Lineage: Eukaryota; Metazoa; Chordata; Mammalia; Rodentia; Muridae.
GGGAAAGGCUGAAAGAUGCUGAGGAGGAGGGUGAUCCUGUAGGAGGACCAGCAGUCUCAAUUAAUCUGGAUCCCUGAGAUCUCUCAAACACUGGACCACCAAACAGACAGCAUACACCAGCUGAUAUGAGGCCCCCAGCACCUAUACAGCAGAGGAUUUCCAGAGACUGAACAAGAUCACAAGCUCUAGAACCAACUGUCAACACUGCCCUCGCCCUGCUGAUUUGAAGAUUCAAAUCUCUGUCACUGGACACUUGAUCAGCCACCUCCUGAGAGGCAGCACAACUACAGUUAUGGAUAUCAAUGAAGACAUUUUAUGGUCGGGGUCAUCACAGCAUAAGGAACUUAAUGAAAGCGGCUCAGCAUGAAGAAGGUUGAGAGCCACUGGUGGAGAGGAAGCUCAUUCAAUGACUAGGAGCUGGAUUAGGAAGCUUUAAAAGUUAACUUCUAGACCUGGAGAGAUGGCUCAGUGGUUGAGAGCUCUUCCUGAGGACCUCCAGUUCCAGAAGAUACAAUGCCCGCCCGCUUCUGGCCUCCAUGGGCACUGUAUGUAUGGUGGUAUACAAACAUGGAAAAAUG